Molecule: long non-coding RNA, 1187 nt
Filed under: Nicotiana benthamiana
Lineage: Eukaryota; Viridiplantae; Streptophyta; Magnoliopsida; Solanales; Solanaceae
Description: long non-coding RNA (NBEN_LNC018040)
Source: RNAcentral
UGCUUUUGGCCCAAUUUUAUAAAUUUCGAAGCCAAUUUUGAGGCCCAACAAGACCUAGCCCACUUCCCAUUCCUCUUAAAUCUUACACCCUAACUCUGAAGACUCUUCUUCUUCAACCUUGAAACCCUAGAAGACAACAACAACACAAAAAAAAUAUCUAGGCUAGCCUUAUUCUUCAUACUUGGACAUUAAAAAACCAGAGAACAAGACAACAGUGGACAACCAUGGACGCCCAUCUUCUUCUUCACGUGGAUGAACUAGCGGAACUCUAGAGACCAAACCACCACCUGAAACCGCCGCCGCCUUUGCUCCUUCUUCGCUCACGUCCAUGGCUUCUUCAACAACAAGACAAGAGACGAAACACUAGGCUCCCAUCUUCUUCUUCGACACUGAACCAAACAGUGCCCCAUGUUUCCCAACGUCAAACCAACCAGCGACCCUGCUCUCCAAAAACAACACCAGCAUCCAUCCUCUACACCACCACGCCGCCGCUGCUUUCCCCUUUACUCCAUCUGAACAGACCCCAUUUUUGAACCCUUGAGCCGUCACUAACACACACGCACAGCUUCACCUCCGCUGGAACCAGGCGCCGGACAACCACCAUUCCAACUCCAUAACCGUUGCUCCUCCACAGCUUUUGAAUAAUCACCAGUCGUCCGUCCGUUUCAGCCAGAACCCGCCACCUCAACCAAAAAUCUCGCCGAAAAAUACUCACUCAUGACCGAACAUCAACAUCCAGCAGCCAGCCCUCGACCUAGUCAAGAAGCAUGAUAUCUCCGUUUGUUCAAAGUCAGUUUCGCGUUUUGUUCUAUUCUUCAUCGUCAGAUUUUUAGUCAGCUUUAUAUUUGCUUCCAACCGUCGUUUUCUGGAGCUAUCACCAUGGAUAGAAGAAAAAUGAUUCCAUUUGAAGCCAUUCUCAUUCUCAUUUCUUCCAAAUCAUUGAGCUGAAUUCGAGUUCGUUUCCAGUGGUCGGUUCCGGUCGAGAUCCGUCUCUGUAAUUUCAGCUUAGCUUAUUUAUACCAAAGGUCACAUUCCCGUCCCUUCCUUCCCCCUCUUAUUUACAAAGUGCUCUUUUCUAAUUGGCAAGAUUCUUGGUGUUGUUAGUUGCAUACUGAAUCGUUUGAUAUGUUAGUUGCAUGCUGAUUUGCUUGAUACGUUAUUUGCUCGAUAUUUUGUUUGGGUGAUAA